GAAAGGCGGGACGCGCUGGGGGAGUCCUGCUCCCCGCGCUCUCUAACGGCGCGCCGCCAGCACUAAAGAUGGCGGGCGCGGCCUCGGAGGUGACGUCACAGCUGUGUGAGGGCGGGAAGGGGCGAUGGCGGCGCUGAGGGGACGGGGAUGACGGGGCACCCUCAGGGCUGGGCAGGGGUUGUGCAGCGCACACGAGCGUGUAGCACACACAGGGCAGCCCCCCAAUCUGCCGCCGCACCGCUGCGGACUGACUGUGCACACUGAGCAAAAACCAACACACAAGGACCGCUCCAGGAUUCCAGAAUUGCCGUGACAUUACAGAACUCGGAGUGCAUUCAGUUCUUUCUAGGAAGACGCAUAAUACUCAUGUUUAUGCACACUAAAAGUCCAUCACACCUCUCCUUGUGUGACAGGUGAUAAAACUGUACCACAUUAAUUCUUCCUCUGCCUGAACACUGCCACAGACAACCACUGGGCGACAGCACCCGAGAGCCAAACCAAAGGAGCGAGGAGAGGGAUCAUUUCCAUCAGUACUUCACAUAAUUGCCCUCCACAUCCUCGACACCGAAUGACUUUGCUCCUCAGCACCCCAGACACUUCAGUUAGGAACGGGAGAUCCCUCACUGAGGGUUCCAAAGCCCAGAGCCACAGCCGGAGCGGUGGAGCUCAGCAGCAGCAGGACAAUGGGAUGUGUAUUGGGGGGAAAAAAAAACCCCAGCGCUGACAAGUCCAAUUAAUAUUUCAACAAAACUGAAUGACAGAAUUCUGUAUUCAAAAACAGUUAAAUACAGAGAUCCGACUACCAAGCUCAUGCAUUAACUCAUCCACGAUGAACCAGAAGCAGCGGUGACAACAGCCCAUAAAAGAAUUGGCAAGCGUAAAAUGGAAAUGACUUUUACAAAAAGGUGCUGAAAGAACGGGAUGUUAAAUGAAGAUACAGGAUCACCUACAAGAAAACUGAUCACUAUCUUGGAAUGCUGCUGAAGGCUAAAUUCCAACCAUCACUGUCAGCUGGCUCGUGAGACCAACUUCUUGAUUGAUAAAUGGUCUGAGAAACUCAACCACUGUCAGCCUCUUCUUACAGCCUUUUCAUGGGAAUAUAUUCUAUAAAGUUUCAGCCUGGAGAAACCCCAAGAGCAAAGAACUCUCCUUCUACUUGGAGCUGACCUGCCAAGCAAUGACCCUCUUACCUGUUUCAAGAGUGCCAGGAUGUAGAGCGGGAAGAGGCGCAGGGAGUGGG
Molecule: long non-coding RNA, 1240 nt
Organism: Corapipo altera (White-ruffed manakin)
Lineage: Eukaryota; Metazoa; Chordata; Aves; Passeriformes; Pipridae
Exons: 3
Source: RefSeq, a predicted model, not a curated record